AGGACGAACGCUGGCGGCGUGCUUAACACAUGCAAGUCGAACGGUAAGGCCCCUUCGGGGGUACACGAGUGGCGAACGGGUGAGUAACACGUGGGUAAUCUGCCCUGCACUUCGGGAUAAGCCUGGGAAACUGGGUCUAAUACCGGAUAUGAGCUCCUGCCGCAUGGUGGGGGUUGGAAAGUUUUUCGGUGCAGGAUGAGUCCGCGGCCUAUCAGCUUGUUGGUGGGGUAAUGGCCUACCAAGGCGACGACGGGUAGCCGGCCUGAGAGGGUGAUCGGCCACACUGGGACUGAGACACGGCCCAGACUCCUACGGGAGCAGCAGUGGGGAAUAUGCACAAUGGGCGAAGCCUGAUGCAGCGACGCCGCGUGGGGGAUGGACGGUCUUCGGAUUGUAAACCCCUUUGAGUAGGGACGAAGCGCAAGUGACGGUACCUGCAGAAGAAGCACCGGCUAACUACGUGCCAGCAGCCGAC
This 475-nucleotide ribosomal RNA is filed under the name uncultured soil bacterium. RNAcentral's name for it is "bacterial SSU rRNA". It matches the Rfam family "Bacterial small subunit ribosomal RNA", at positions 26 to 518 of the family's 1533-position model. The record is from RNAcentral.